AAAAAAUUAUCCAGUUGAAGGAAAAUCAUCUUCCCGCUGCUUUUCUUGUCUCUACUGCUAGGGUUUAACUCUCCAUCAACAUCAAAUUUAGGGGUUUUGUUUCUGAUUCUCUGAAAGAAAGAAACCGCGUACUAAGUACUAAUACUCUGCUUCUCUGAACAUUCAUUUUUAUUGAAUUAAUUAUAAACCCUAAGCCCAAACAGGAACAAGAGAGAUAAAGAGAAUGAAGGUGAAAGUAAUAUCAUGUUCCACUGAUGAAUUCACACAGGAACGAAGCCAAGACCUCCAGAGGGUGUUUCGUAAUUUCAACCCCAGCCUUCGAACCCAAGAGAAAGCCGUUGAGUAUGUCCGCGCUCUUAACGUCGCCAAACUGGACAAGGUAUUUGCAAGACCCUUUUAUUGGAGCUAUGGAUGGGCAUAGAGAUUCCAUCAAGUGUAUGGCCAAAAACCGAAAUUACUUGAAAGCAAUUUUUUCUGGUUCUGAUGAUGGAGAUAUUCGUUUUUGGGAUUUAGCUUCCAAGUAUUUCUACACCUCUUUGAUUGCAGCUUUGGUUAGUUAGGAUCUUAAUAUUUUAACUCCCCCUCCCAAUCUUUCAUCAAAUGAUUAAAUAAAUUAGAGCUUUGAAACAAUGCUAUUAACAAUUACUUUCUUUUUUUCAAUUUCCUCAUAGUACUACAAUGAUGGUAGCAAUAGUGGUUUCAAGAUCAGUUUAGUAACUCAUUUAUUCUUCUCCAUUAAUGCUUUUGUGGUGGUUUCAUACUGUUACUUUCUUAUUUAAAAUGCACUGUGAUUUACAUAUUUUUGAAAUUUUGAUUCAAAGGCGAAUAGUUUGCCAAUUUCCUGGUCACCAAGGUGCUGUACAAGGUUUGACAGUAUCGACAGAUGGAAGCAUUCUUGUAUCAUGUGGAAGUGAUUGCACUGUUAGGCUCUGGAAUGUUCCUGAUGCUACUCUUGCAGAUCUGGAUAACCUUUCUGAUAAUUCAGCCAAGUUUAUGUUUGGAAGAAUGCAUUUUGGUAAGGAUCAUGACUUGCUAGAAAGUAUCUUUGUUCUUUUAGCCUUUUCACCUUAUGGCAACAUCAGCUAAGUAUGGAUAGAAGCCUGCACCUAGAUCGAGUAGUAUGUGGUUAACACAAUUGGUUUGUGAUAUAACGUUGAGUUCAAACCUCUCAAAUUUUCUAAUCAUCAUAUGCUUCAUCCUAAGUUAAAAUAGACGACUGAAACAGAAUGAUAAUGUUCUGCUUUCAUCCCUUGAAUCAUAUAUUGAAGAUAAAAUUAGGAAGAGGUAGAGUGUAGUGAGAUCCAUAAUGUCAACCAGCUUGUUUUGUAGAGUGACCAAAGCGGUGUAUCCUUCCAAUGAUAUAUUUGGCUACCAUAAGGUUCUCAUGACUCUUUCUAUGCUAUUUUGUGAUCUUGUUUCCAAGACAUAGCAGCUAGGAAUAGUGUCAUAUGCUAUUAAUCUAUGCUUUCCAGUCACAAUAGAUGGUUAGGUAGUUGAAAAUAUGUUGCUUUUUUGUUUAUGGUCAAUUCUUAUUUGAAGAAACACAAUCUUUUAUAAUUGAUCUUGAAUUUGAUUUAUGCUAUUCUGUAAUUUAAGGGAUUUUUAUCGGUGAUAGUAGUAUGUCAUUAACUCUUGAAAUAGGCUUCUAGCUAGCAGUUUUCAAUUUAAUGCUACUUUUAGUUCAUAUUUUGCAUGAGGUUAAACUUCUGAACCUCAAAUUUUGAAGCUUGGUUGUUAAUAUAAUAUGUAAAUUAAAAGAAAAUUAUUCAAUGUGGUUGCCAGUUUGUUUACGUAAAGCAAUUAGCUAUGUAGAUUGAUGUGCAUUAUGCAUUAUGUAGUCUGUCUUUGGUAAUUUGAUUUAUCUUCCCUACCUUUAUUUUACUUUGGGGAGCUCGGUUGCCCUCCUGAAAAUGCAUUUACUCAUUUACAAUGUUUUAGCAUGUCAUACAAAGAGUAUAUGAUUAUUUACAUCCAUUUUUGUUUUUAAUGACUGGAGCAUAACAUUAUAUGAUCUGCGGAUGUCAUCCCCUGCAAGGAAAGUUAUCAUGAGGGUAAUUCUGGACACAUUUGAGUUUGAAAACAUGGAAUCCUUAUUUUUUGCUUGAAAUGAUAAAAUCAUAUCAUUUUUAUUGCAAAUCUAAAUUUUUUUGCUUCUUUUUAUCCAUUAUAAAUGGUAGGUGAUUUUCCUUAGAAAAGCUGCAGAACUUGUUACAUUUAGAUUUAAUAUAUUGGAACGCAAUAGAGCUUAGCAAAUAUAGCUUUUAGUGGUUGUUACUUUAAACUUUGCAUUUAAGGAUAGCUU
Molecule: non-coding RNA, 2302 nt
Organism: Durio zibethinus
Lineage: Eukaryota; Viridiplantae; Streptophyta; Magnoliopsida; Malvales; Malvaceae
Source: RefSeq, a predicted model, not a curated record